AAUGGGGGAUAGAGAAAAGAAAAUAGAGGAAGGGAAAGUAAAAAGGAAAAAAAACAAAAAAAAAAAGUUUUUUUCUUUUUCGUAACAAGGUUUCCGUAGGUGGGCCUGCGG
This 111-nucleotide ribosomal RNA is filed under the name Thanatephorus cucumeris. RNAcentral's name for it is "partial 18S ribosomal RNA". The record is from RNAcentral. Lineage: Eukaryota; Fungi; Basidiomycota; Agaricomycetes; Cantharellales; Ceratobasidiaceae.